GGGGCCGUGGCUCAGUGGUAGAGCAUCUGUUUAAUACGCAGAAGGUCCCAGGUUCGAUCCGUGGCGGCAUCU
Gekko japonicus is the source of this 72-nucleotide non-coding RNA. The record is from the annotation of a RefSeq genome assembly. NCBI's taxonomy places the organism in Eukaryota, Metazoa, Chordata, Lepidosauria, Squamata, Gekkonidae.